RNAcentral lists this ribosomal RNA (696 nucleotides) under uncultured bacterium. Its description in RNAcentral is "bacterial SSU rRNA". It matches the Rfam family "Bacterial small subunit ribosomal RNA", at positions 32 to 715 of the family's 1533-position model. The record is from RNAcentral.
AACGCUAGCUACAGGCUUAACACAUGCAAGUCGAGGGGAAACGAUAUUGGAAGCUUGCUUCCGAUAGGCGUCGACCGGCGCACGGGUGAGUAACGCGUAUCCAACCUGCCCAUCACUUGGGGAUAACCUUGCGAAAGUAAGACUAAUACCCAAUGAUAUCUCUAGAAGACAUCUGAAAGAGAUUAAAGAUUUAUCGGUGAUGGAUGGGGAUGCGUCUGAUUAGCUUGUUGGCGGGGUAACGGCCCACCAAGGCAACGAUCAGUAGGGGUUCUGAGAGGAAGGUCCCCCACAUUGGAACUGAGACACGGUCCAAACUCCUACGGGAGGCAGCAGUGAGGAAUAUUGGUCAAUGGACGAGAGUCUGAACCAGCCAAGUAGCGUGCAGGAUGACGGCCCUAUGGGUUGUAAACUGCUUUUAUAAGGGAAUAAAGUGAGUCUCGUGAGACUUUUUGCAUGUACCUUAUGAAUAAGGACCGGCUAAUUCCGUGCCAGCAGCCGCGGUAAUACGGAAGGUCCGGGCGUUAUCCGGAUUUAUUGGGUUUAAAGGGAGCGUAGGCCGGAGAUUAAGCGUGUUGUGAAAUGUAGACGCUCAACAUCUGAAUUGCAGCGCGAACUGGCAGACUUGAGUGUGCGCAACGUAGGCGGAAUUCGUGGUGUAGCGGUGAAAUGCUUAGAUAUCACGAAGAACUCCGAUUG